UUGGUUUGCAAAAGUUUAAAGUUAAAGUAAUGGAAAGUGAAAGUGACGAGCAGUUGUCAAAGUUCCUGGAGGAUAUUAAAAUGGAGUCCGUAAGGAAAUUCCUUGAAGUGCACCCUUACACAAAUACUUAUUAAAUAAUAAAAAACAUUACCUUAGAUUUAAAUAUUUAUAAGCUUGUAUAUAUACCUUAAUGUUAUAAGAGAUUUAAGCCUGUAAUUAAUCACAUAUUAUAUACAUAUCCCAUAUAUAUUACAAUUCAAUAAAAGUAAAAAACUAUUACAAGCCAAA
This is a non-coding RNA of Drosophila suzukii, 288 nucleotides long. Lineage: Eukaryota; Metazoa; Arthropoda; Insecta; Diptera; Drosophilidae. The record is from RefSeq and is a predicted model, not a curated record.